CGGGGUGUGUGCUGGUGUGAGUCUUCCAUCCUUCUCGAAAGCCACGCCUGCUGUUCCCUCAGCUGGGCCUGUGCGAUCUAGAUCAUUUACUUUGAAAAAAUUAAAGUGUUUAAAGCAAGCUUAUGCCCGAAUACAUUAGCAUGGAAUAAUAAAAUAGGAGUUCGGUUCUAUUUUGUUGGUUUCUAGAAGUGAAGUAAUGAUUGAUAGGGAUAGUUGGGGGUGCUAGUAUUCAGUGACCAGAGGUGAAAUUCUUGGAUUCAGUGAAGACUAACUAAUGCCAAAGCCUUCACCAAGGAUGUCUUCUUUAAUCAAGAAGGAAAGGUGGGGGAUCGAAGACGAUCCGAUACUGUUGUAGUCUCAACCAUAAACUAUACAGAGUAAGGAUCAGUGGAAGUUUUAUUUUGACUCCAUUGGCACUUUAUGAGAAAUCAAAGUCUUGGGUUCCGGGGGGAGUAUGGUCGCAAGGCUGAAACUUAAAGGAAUUGACGGAAGGGCCCCACCAGGAGUGGAGCGUGCGGCUUAAUUUGACUCAACACGGGAAAACUCACCAGGUCCGGACAUAGUAAGGAUUGACAGAGAGAGAGCUCUUUCUUGAUUCUGUGGGUGGUGGUGCAUGGCCGUACUUAGUUGGUGGAGCGAUUUGUAAGGUUAAUUCCGAUAACGAACGAGACCUUAACCUUCGAACCAGUUGCAGGUACUUUUGUAUGGGCCACUUCUUAGAGGGACAGAGUACG
RNAcentral lists this ribosomal RNA (734 nucleotides) under uncultured eukaryote. Its description in RNAcentral is "bacterial SSU rRNA". It matches the Rfam family "Eukaryotic small subunit ribosomal RNA", at positions 666 to 1428 of the family's 1831-position model. The record is from RNAcentral.